GCCAUUGUGGCUCAGUGAUUAGAGCAUUGGCCUGUGAACCAAAGGAUGGGGGUUUGAUUCCCAGUCAAGGGCA
RNAcentral lists this transfer RNA (73 nucleotides) under Myotis davidii. It matches the Rfam family "tRNA". From Rfam's summary of the family: Transfer RNA (tRNA) molecules are approximately 80 nucleotides in length. Their secondary structure includes four short double-helical elements and three loops (D, anti-codon, and T loops). Further hydrogen bonds mediate the characteristic L-shaped molecular structure. tRNAs have two regions of fundamental functional importance: the anti-codon, which is responsible for specific mRNA codon recognition, and the 3' end, to which the tRNAs corresponding amino acid is attached (by aminoacyl-tRNA synthetases). tRNAs cope with the degeneracy of the genetic code in two manners: having more than one tRNA (with a specific anti-codon) for a particular amino acid; and 'wobble' base-pairing, i.e. permitting non-standard base-pairing at the 3rd anti-codon position. The record is from Rfam by way of RNAcentral. Lineage: Eukaryota; Metazoa; Chordata; Mammalia; Chiroptera; Vespertilionidae.